Long non-coding RNA from Brassica napus (rape), 651 nucleotides. RefSeq lists it as uncharacterized. The transcript is spliced from 3 exons. NCBI's taxonomy places the organism in Eukaryota, Viridiplantae, Streptophyta, Magnoliopsida, Brassicales, Brassicaceae. The record is from RefSeq and is a predicted model, not a curated record.
CUCUUUCAAUCUUCUCUGCAACAGAAUGAAAGCUUUUUUAGUUCGUUCGUUCUUUCUUGCAGAAAAUGAGAGUCUGAGUAUUAGGUCCGUUUGCCAAAAAGAGAGAUUGAGUAUUAGGUUCGUUUGAAUUGAACAGGUUAUGGUUUGGAGAUAUGGGAUGGAGCAUAAUCAAAAUUAUUCUUGUGAAAGAGACAAGCAUCAAGUUUUCUCCUCACAAAGAAGCGUUCACUACUGUAAUUGUUUUCAACCCUAAAACUAUUGUUGGAUGUUACGGAACUUGCAUUUCUGAAAGGUAAAUCUACUUUACUUAAUUAUUGCUAGACAAUUCAUUAUAGCUUCAUAAAAAGCAAACUAAAGAUCUAAAAUGUAAUCUUAUAAAUUUAAUAAAGCAUCAAAUAAAGUAAUGUGGGUAUUUCAGAUGUGAGUUUUUUAAAACAAGUUGGUAAAUUAACAUAAAAUAUCAACGCAACAAUUACUUUAACUAUAAAAAAAUUAUCAAAUUGAAUAAAGUGUUUUUAACCAUAUUUUAUAUUUUGAUAUUUUAAAAAGUUUUGCAAACAUGUAUCCAUUUUAUAGUGACAUUUGUUUUAUCCUUUCAAGUUUCAAUUGUUUUGUUUAAGGCAAGAAUCUCUAAUAUUAUGUACCACUGUU